GGAUUAGAUACCCUGGUAGUCCACGCUGUAAACGAUGAGUACUAGGUGUCGCGGGUAUUGACCCCUGCAGUGCCGCAGCUAACGCAUUAAGUACUCCGCCUGGGGACUACGGCCGCAAGGUUAAAACUCAAAGGAAUUGACGGGGGCCCGCACAAGCGGUGGAGCAUGUGGUUCAAUUCGACGCAACGCGAAGAACCUUACCUGGACUAGACAACGGUGGACCGCCCCAGAGAUGGGGCUUUCCCUUCGGGGACCGCCGGUUCAGGUGCUGCAUGGCUGUCGUCAGCUCGUGCCG
This 295-nucleotide ribosomal RNA is filed under the name uncultured bacterium. RNAcentral's name for it is "partial 16S ribosomal RNA". It matches the Rfam family "Bacterial small subunit ribosomal RNA", at positions 775 to 1067 of the family's 1533-position model. The record is from RNAcentral.